Molecule: ribosomal RNA, 382 nt
Filed under: uncultured eukaryote
Lineage: Eukaryota
Description: partial 18S ribosomal RNA
Rfam family: Eukaryotic small subunit ribosomal RNA
Source: RNAcentral
CAAUAGCGUAUAUUAAAGUUGUUGCAGUUAAAAAGCUCGUAGUUGGAUUUCUGGUUGAAGCGACCGGUCGGGCGUUGAUUCGUCUGCACUGGAGUCGGUUUUGGCCAUCCUCUAGGAAAGUGCGUCUGGUAUUAAGUUAUCGGGCGUAUGAUCCUGGUCUUUUACUGUGAAAAAAUUAGAGUGUUUAAAGCAGGCCUUCGCCUUGAAUACAUUAGCAUGGAAUAAUAAGAUAGGACUUUGGUCUAUUUUGUUGGUUUGCAGACCGAAGUAAUGAUUAAUAGGGAUAGUUGGGGAUAUUUAUAUUCCGAUGUCAGAGGUGAAAUUCUUAGAUUUUCGGAAGAUAAACUUAUGCGAAAGCAUUUACCAAGGAUGUUUUCAUUAA